ACCCGCUGAACUUAAGCAUAUCAAUAAGCGGAGGAAAAGAAACCAACAGGGAUUGCCCCAGUAACGGCGAGUGAAGCGGCAACAGCUCAAAUUUGAAAUCUGGUCCCCCCGCGGGGCCCGAGUUGUAAUUUGAAGAGGAUGCUUCUGGCAAGGUGCCGUCCGAGUUCCCUGGAACGGGACGCCGCAGAGGGUGAGAGCCCCGUACGGUCGGACGCCGAGCCUCUGUGAAGCUCCUUCGACGAGUCGAGUAGUUUGGGAAUGCUGCUCAAAAUGGGAGGUAAACCCCUUCUAAAGCUAAAUACCGGCCAGAGACCGAUAGCGCACAAGUAGAGUGAUCGAAAGAUGAAAAGCACUUUGAAAAGAGAGUUAAAAAGCACGUGAAAUUGUUGAAAGGGAAGCGCUUGCGACCAGACUCGCGCCCGUCGGAUCAGCCGUCGCUCGUCGGCGGCGCACUCCGGCGGGCUCGGGCCAGCAUCAGUUCGCCUCGGGGGGAGAAAGGCGGCGGGAAUGUGGCUCUACGGAGUGUUAUAGCCCGCCGCGUAAUACCCCCGGGCGGACUGAGGACCGCGCGUAUGCAAGGAUGCUGGCGUAAUGGUCGUCAGCGACCCGUCUUGAAACACGGACCAAGGAGUCGUCCUAAUAUGCGAGUGUACGGGUGUCAAACCCCUGCGCGUAAUGAAAGUGAACGGAGGUGAGAGCUUCGGCGCAUCAUCGACCGAUCCUGAUGUUCUCGGAUGGAUUUGAGUAAGAGCAUAUUGGGCCGGACCCGAAAGAAGGUGAACUAUGCCUGUGUAGGGUAAAGCCAGAGGAAACUCUGGUGGAGGCUCGCAGCGGUUCUGACGUGCAAAUCGAUCGUCAAACAUGGGCAUGGGGCGAAAGACUAAUCGAACUGC
Molecule: small RNA, 893 nt
Filed under: Microascus trigonosporus
Lineage: Eukaryota; Fungi; Ascomycota; Sordariomycetes; Microascales; Microascaceae
Description: eukaryotic LSU rRNA
Rfam family: Eukaryotic large subunit ribosomal RNA
Source: RNAcentral